AAAUGAAUUGACGGGAGCCCGCACAAGCAGUGGAGUAUGUGGUUUAAUUCGACGCAACGCGAAGAACCUUACCGGAGCUUGACAUCCCAGAGAGGCCGACGUAAUGUUGGCUGUGCCCCUUCGGGGGAAUCUGGUGACAGGUGGUGCAUGGUUGUCGUCAGCUCGUGUCGUGAGAUGUUGGGUUAAGUCCCGCAACGAGCGCAACCCUUACGGUUAAUUACUACGAAAGAGUACCUUAGCCGGACUGCCGUUGACAAAACGGAGGAAGGUGGGGACGACGUCAAAUCAUCAUGCCCCUUACGCCCCGGGCUACACACGUACUACAAUGGCGAGAACAAAGGGAAGCGAAGCCGCGAGGCGAAGCAAAUCCCAUAAAAAUCGUCCCAGUUCGGACUGCAGGCUGCAACUCGCCUGCACGAAGUUGGAAUUGCUAGUAAUCGCGGAUCAGCAUGCCGCGGUGAAUACGUUCCCGGGCUUUGUACACACCGCCCGU
RNAcentral lists this ribosomal RNA (493 nucleotides) under uncultured bacterium. RNAcentral describes it as "bacterial SSU rRNA". It matches the Rfam family "Bacterial small subunit ribosomal RNA", at positions 903 to 1397 of the family's 1533-position model. The record is from RNAcentral.